UAGAGUUUUCAAAACUCCCAACCCAUGUGAACUUACUUAUGUUGCCUCGGCGGGAGCCUACCCUAUACCUACCCUGUAACGGGGUACCCGGGAACGGCCCCGCCGGUGGACUUUUUAACUCUUGUUAUUUUAUGUAAUCUGAGAGUCUUAUUUUAAAUAAGUCA
This 164-nucleotide unclassified non-coding RNA is filed under the name uncultured fungus. RNAcentral's name for it is "sequence contains ITS1, 5.8S rRNA gene". The record is from RNAcentral. RNAcentral also lists the same sequence under 1 other name. Lineage: Eukaryota; Fungi.